This 365-nucleotide long non-coding RNA is filed under the name Fukomys damarensis (Damara mole-rat). Its description in RNAcentral is "lncRNA (ENSFDAG00000033615.1)". The record is from RNAcentral. Lineage: Eukaryota; Metazoa; Chordata; Mammalia; Rodentia; Bathyergidae.
GGAGGAGAAGAAGAAGAAGAAGAAGAAGAAGAAGAAGAAGAAGAAGAAGAAGAAGAAGAAGAAGAAGAAGAAGAAACAACAACAGUACCAUCCAAAUUACUGAGAUGGGGAGAGGCUGGAGUUGAUGCACUGAAUAAACAAACCAUGUCCUUCCCAGGAUCAAUUAUUUCUGUAACUCAGGAGUCUGAACCCAACCUCAUCACUCAAGAGACAAGAAAAAGAGACGCACUGCCAGAGCUAAAGCCUGAGAACCAGGAUUUAAGAAUCUAAGGACACUUCAAUCACUGUUGUCAUGUGGAAUGGAGAAUUUAGCCGUUGCCCCAUCUACUGUCACUGAACAUUUCUGGCGAGAGCAAGUGAGAUGU